CCAGCGGAGGGAUCAUUACUGAGUUUUCAACUCUAAAACCAUUUGUGAACAUACCUAUCUUUACUGCUUUGGCGUGGUCCUUCGGGAUUGUGCCGGUAGUAUUUACAAACUCUUUUAAUUUCUAGAGAAUUAUUCAUUGCUGAGUUGCAUUUAACAAAUAGUUAAAACUUUCAACAACGGAUCUCUUGGCUCUAGCAUCGAUGAAGAACGCAGCGAAAUGCGAUAAGUAAUGUGAAUUGCAGAAUUCAGUGAAUCAUCGAAUCUUUGAACGCACAUUGCGCCUAGCAGUAUUCUGCUAGGCAUGCCUGUCCGAGCGUCAUUUCACCACUCAAGCUUCGCUUGGUGUUGGAGGACCCGCUGUCAAGCGGGCCGCCGAAAUGCAUCGGCUGUAGUAUUUGCAGCUUCCCUGCGUAGUAAAACUUUGUGUUACGCUUUGAACCUCUUGUACAACAUGCCGUAAAACAACCCACUUUUGUAAGGUUGACCUCGGAUCAGGUAGGAAU
Molecule: ribosomal RNA, 503 nt
Filed under: Catunica adiposa
Lineage: Eukaryota; Fungi; Ascomycota; Sordariomycetes; Microascales; Ceratocystidaceae
Description: eukaryotic LSU rRNA
Rfam family: 5.8S ribosomal RNA (bases 166-319)
Source: RNAcentral